RNAcentral lists this ribosomal RNA (490 nucleotides) under uncultured bacterium. Its description in RNAcentral is "partial 16S ribosomal RNA". It matches the Rfam family "Bacterial small subunit ribosomal RNA", at positions 29 to 507 of the family's 1533-position model. The record is from RNAcentral.
AGUGAACGCUGGCGGUAGGCCUAACACAUGCAAGUCGAACGGCAGCACAGGAGAGCUUGCUCUCUGGGUGGCGAGUGGCGGACGGGUGAGGAAUACAUCGGAAUCUGCCCAGUCGUGGGGGAUAACGUAGGGAAACUUACGCUAAUACCGCAUACGACCUUCGGGUGAAAGAGGGGGAUCGCAAGACCUCUCGCGAUUGGAUGAGCCGAUGUCGGAUUAGCUAGUUGGCGGGGUAAUGGCCCACCAAGGCGACGAUCCGUAGCUGGUCUGAGAGGAUGAUCAGCCACACUGGAACUGAGACACGGUCCAGACUCCUACGGGAGGCAGCAGUGAGGAAUAUUGGACAAUGGGCGCAAGCCUGAUCCAGCCAUACCGCGUGGGUGAAGAAGGCCUUCGGGUUGUAAAGCCCUUUUGUUGGGAAAGAAAUCUUUCAGGCUAAUACCCUGGGAGGAUGACGGUACCCAAAGAAUAAGCACCGGCUAACUUCGUG